UUCCCUGUGGCUCAGUUGGUAGAGCAUGGUGUGUGCAAUGCCAGGGUUGUGGGUUUGAUUCCCACGGGGAGU
This 72-nucleotide transfer RNA is filed under the name Salmo salar (Atlantic salmon). It matches the Rfam family "tRNA". From Rfam's summary of the family: Transfer RNA (tRNA) molecules are approximately 80 nucleotides in length. Their secondary structure includes four short double-helical elements and three loops (D, anti-codon, and T loops). Lineage: Eukaryota; Metazoa; Chordata; Actinopteri; Salmoniformes; Salmonidae. The record is from Rfam by way of RNAcentral.